UACGUAGGGCGCAAGCGUUGUCCGGAAUUAUUGGGCGUAAAGAGCUCGUAGGCGGUUUGUCGCGUCUGCUGUGAAAACCCGAGGCUCAACCUCGGGCCUGCAGUGGGUACGGGCAGACUAGAGUGUGGUAGGGGAGACUGGAAUUCCUGGUGUAGCGGUGGAAUGCGCAGAUAUCAGGGAGGGAACACCAAUGGCGAAGGCACGGUC
This 207-nucleotide ribosomal RNA is filed under the name uncultured bacterium. RNAcentral's name for it is "partial 16S ribosomal RNA". It matches the Rfam family "Bacterial small subunit ribosomal RNA", at positions 524 to 727 of the family's 1533-position model. The record is from RNAcentral.